RNAcentral lists this ribosomal RNA (1027 nucleotides) under Penicillium crustosum. RNAcentral's name for it is "SSU rRNA". It matches the Rfam family "Eukaryotic small subunit ribosomal RNA", at positions 66 to 1102 of the family's 1831-position model. The record is from RNAcentral. Lineage: Eukaryota; Fungi; Ascomycota; Eurotiomycetes; Eurotiales; Aspergillaceae.
UAAGCAACUUGUACUGUGAAACUGCGAAUGGCUCAUUAAAUCAGUUAUCGUUUAUUUGAUAGUACCUUACUACAUGGAUACCUGUGGUAAUUCUAGAGCUAAUACAUGCUAAAAACCCCGACUUCAGGAAGGGGUGUAUUUAUUAGAUAAAAAACCAACGCCCUUCGGGGCUCCUUGGUGAAUCAUAAUAACUUAACGAAUCGCAUGGCCUUGCGCCGGCGAUGGUUCAUUCAAAUUUCUGCCCUAUCAACUUUCGAUGGUAGGAUAGUGGCCUACCAUGGUGGCAACGGGUAACGGGGAAUUAGGGUUCGAUUCCGGAGAGGGAGCCUGAGAAACGGCUACCACAUCCAAGGAAGGCAGCAGGCGCGCAAAUUACCCAAUCCCGAUACGGGGAGGUAGUGACAAUAAAUACUGAUACGGGGCUCUUUUGGGUCUCGUAAUUGGAAUGAGAACAAUUUAAAUCCCUUAACGAGGAACAAUUGGAGGGCAAGUCUGGUGCCAGCAGCCGCGGUAAUUCCAGCUCCAAUAGCGUAUAUUAAAGUUGUUGCAGUUAAAAAGCUCGUAGUUGAACCUUGGGUCUGGCUGGCCGGUCCGCCUCACCGCGAGUACUGGUCCGGCUGGACCUUUCCUUCUGGGGAACCUCAUGGCCUUCACUGGCUGUGGGGGGAACCAGGACUUUUACUGUGAAAAAAUUAGAGUGUUCAAAGCAGGCCUUUGCUCGAAUACAUUAGCAUGGAAUAAUAGAAUAGGACGUGUGGUUCUAUUUUGUUGGUUUCUAGGACCGCCGUAAUGAUUAAUAGGGAUAGUCGGGGGCGUCAGUAUUCAGCUGUCAGAGGUGAAAUUCUUGGAUUUGCUGAAGACUAACUACUGCGAAAGCAUUCGCCAAGGAUGUUUUCAUUAAUCAGGGAACGAAAGUUAGGGGAUCGAAGACGAUCAGAUACCGUCGUAGUCUUAACCAUAAACUAUGCCGACUAGGGAUCGGACGGGAUUCUAUAAUGACCCGUUCGGCACCUUACGAGAAAUCAAA